This 707-nucleotide long non-coding RNA is filed under the name Equus asinus (donkey). RNAcentral describes it as "lncRNA (ENSEASG00005032628.1)". Lineage: Eukaryota; Metazoa; Chordata; Mammalia; Perissodactyla; Equidae. The record is from RNAcentral.
UGACGUGGGCCAGGACUCAUUGAAUGAGAAGAGCUGCUGCCCAGCCUGGCAGUGGCUGCUGCGAGGGGCUGGACUCUGCCAGCCACCGUGAGGGGCUUGCACCCGCUGUGAGUUUUGGACCCACCGGCCAAGCCAGGGGACUCUCCCAGAAUUAGAGAGUGUCCACCCAACUGAGUGCCCCUUGGGCCUGGCAUCCCUGUCCUUAACCCAGGAGUCUGGGAGAGAGCUGAGCCACGUGGCCGAGCUGGCUGAUGACGACUUCACUUGAACAAGCAAGGACGACAGAAAAGAUUAUAAAAAAUUGUGGGACCAUCAUUCAUGUCUGAACCUCUAAGGUGACCACUGGCAUGGCUCUUCUGCUCACGGGCCCCCAAGGAGCUGCGUCCAAUGACAUCUGGACGCUCUGUCCACACUGACGAGGCUUGUUUCCAAGUCUCCACCUGCGGGUGCUCAGCCAGGCCCUACUGCUUAACUCCUAGCCUGCACAGCAACCAGAGUGAAUAGAGGAGAGACAUCAAUGUGAUCAGUGUUCCUCCCAGCUGGAAGCGACUCAGACCCUCAGGAGCUCUCCAUGGAUUUUUAACCGCUCUUUGCUACUGCCUUGGCCAUUUUAUUUGAAAUAAAUAUUCAAGAUUGACCUUCCCUACACUUCUUUCUUUUUGCUACACCCACCAGUACAAGAUUUCAUUGCAAUUUUGAAAGGCGCA